RNAcentral lists this ribosomal RNA (253 nucleotides) under uncultured bacterium. RNAcentral's name for it is "partial 16S ribosomal RNA". It matches the Rfam family "Bacterial small subunit ribosomal RNA", at positions 524 to 776 of the family's 1533-position model. The record is from RNAcentral.
GACAGAGGGUGCAAGCGUUGUUCGGAAUUAUUGGGCGUAAAGGGCGCGUAGGCGGCCUUGCAAGUCAACUGUGAAAUCCCAGGGCUUAACCCUGGAAGUGCAGCUGAUACUGCUCGGCUUGAGUCCCGGAGAGGGUGGUGGAAUUCCCAGUGUAGAGGUGAAAUUCGUAGAUAUUGGGAGGAACACCGGUGGCGAAGGCGACCACCUGGACGGAGACUGACGCUGAGGCGCGAAAGCGUGGGGAGCAAACAGG